This 391-nucleotide ribosomal RNA is filed under the name Neogloboquadrina pachyderma. Its description in RNAcentral is "bacterial SSU rRNA". Lineage: Eukaryota; Foraminifera; Rotaliida; Globorotaliidae. The record is from RNAcentral.
AUGUUUAAUAACCGUUAUUAACGUAUCGCGUUAUUUAAUACAUCGAGUGUUAAAUAUGCUAGUCCUUUCAUGAUUAUGUGAUAGGUGGUGCAUGGCCGUUCUUAGUUCGUGGAGUGAUCUGUCUGCUUAAUUGCGUUUCACUAAGGGCCCAUAAAUUCAAGGUAUGUUAGCUAUCGUCGCUCUAUGGACCCCUUAACCGAGUUAAAUCGAGUUAAGCGCGCGUCUUUAUUUAAAGAGUUUAAGACAUUGCCAUGCUGUUGGGCUCUGAAAGCAACGAACGUGACCGCAACGUCUUGUUGCCUUAAUAAAGUUGUGUUAAUAGCAAUUGCUAUUAACCGCUUACCGAGGCUAUUUAAACUAGACGGACGGCUGUUCUUUUCUAAACCAAAGG